UACGGAGGGUGCGAGCGUUGUUCGGAAUCACUGGGCGUAAAGGGCGUGUAGGCGGUCCGCUAAGUCUGAUGUGAAAGCCCGGGGCUCACCCCCGGAAGGGCAUUGGAAACUGGCGGACUCGAGUCCCGGAGAGGAGGGUGGAAUUCCUGGUGUAGCGGUGAAAUGCGUAGAUAUCAGGAGGAACACCGGUGGCGAAGGCGGCCCUCUGGACGGUGACUGACGCUGAGACGCGAAAGCGUGGGGAGCAAACAGG
This 253-nucleotide ribosomal RNA is filed under the name Deltaproteobacteria bacterium. Its description in RNAcentral is "partial 16S ribosomal RNA". It matches the Rfam family "Bacterial small subunit ribosomal RNA", at positions 524 to 776 of the family's 1533-position model. Lineage: Bacteria; Pseudomonadati; Myxococcota; Myxococcia. RNAcentral also lists the same sequence under 1 other name. The record is from RNAcentral.